Molecule: long non-coding RNA, 473 nt
Filed under: Setaria viridis
Lineage: Eukaryota; Viridiplantae; Streptophyta; Magnoliopsida; Poales; Poaceae
Description: long non-coding RNA (SVIR_LNC002431)
Source: RNAcentral
CUACUUCAAAAAACCACCCUUCUUAUAUCCUGGACCUUGUAUAGUAAGCAUCUAUCUGAACAGAUUCAGAUCAGAGUGAAUGAAGGCAGUGUGGGAUAUGAACGGGACAUCUGGGUACAUUCCACAGAGAGCACACCGCAUACACUCAAGCACUGUGAAGAUCUGCAUGAAGGCAAUAGACAUCCAGAAGUACUGCAUUGGUUUCCCCUGAUACACAAUGCUUGGCAUCCAGGUACACAUGGUGGCCACUGCUUGGGAGCCAGUGUCCAGGAGGAUAGCCAGAAUCACAUGGAACCUCAGAAAGUGCGGUGACCACUUCCGCCUCACAACGAAGAAGUACACCGUCAUAAAUAUCACCAGAAAGAGCCACCCAGGACACAGCGUCAUAGUAUCGAUGAAGGUGUACAGCAGCGAAAACCCUUGCAAGUAAGUGUGCAGCUGGUAGAUCACGUCAGCAUAAGACCACAUGUUGU